CUCAAAUGAAUUGACGGGGGCCCGCACAAGCGGUGGAGCAUGUGGUUUAAUUCGAUGCAACGCGAAGAACCUUACCUACUCUUGACAUCCAGCGAACUUUCCAGAGAUGGAUUGGUGCCUUCGGGAACGCUGAGACAGGUGCUGCAUGGCUGUCGUCAGCUCGUGUUGUGAAAUGUUGGGUUAAGUCCCGCAACGAGCGCAACCCUUAUCCUUUGUUGCCAGCGGAUUCGGUCGGGAACUCAAAGGAGACUGCCGGUGAUAAACCGGAGGAAGGUGGGGAUGACGUCAAGUCAUCAUGGCCCUUACGAGUAGGGCUACACACGUGCUACAAUGGCGCAUACAAAGAGGAAGCGACCUCGCGAGAGCAAGUGGGCGCGUGAAAGCCGGUCACGCAGUCGCACGCGAUCUCGAAAAUGAAUCAGCUACGGAGGCAUGCCAGCAA
RNAcentral lists this ribosomal RNA (442 nucleotides) under ice nucleation active bacterium A32. Its description in RNAcentral is "bacterial SSU rRNA". It matches the Rfam family "Bacterial small subunit ribosomal RNA", at positions 900 to 1355 of the family's 1533-position model. The record is from RNAcentral.